AACGUAGGGGUCGAGCGUUAUCCGGAUUUACUGGGCGUAAAGCGCAUGUAGGUGGUUUUUUAAGUUGGACGUGAAAGCUCCCGGCUCAACUGGGAGAGGUCGUUCAAAACUAAAAAACUUGAGGGUGGUAGAGGAGAGUGGAAUUCCCGGUGUAGUGGUGAAAUGCGUAGAUAUCGGGAGGAACACCAGUGGCGAAGGCGGCUCUCUGGGCCAUUCCUGACACUCAGAUGCGAAAGCCAGGGGAGAGAACGGGAUUAGAAACCCCUGUAGUCC
Molecule: ribosomal RNA, 273 nt
Filed under: uncultured bacterium
Lineage: Bacteria
Description: partial 16S ribosomal RNA
Rfam family: Bacterial small subunit ribosomal RNA
Source: RNAcentral